GACGAACGCUGGCGGCGUGCUUAACACAUGCAAGUCGAACGGAAAGGCCCUGCUUGCAGGGUACUCGAGUGGCGAACGGGUGAGUAACACGUGGGUGAUCUGCCCUGCACUUCGGGAUAAGCCUGGGAAACUGGGUCUAAUACCGGAUAGGAGCCAUUUUUAGUGUGAUGGUUGGAAAGUUUUUUCGGUGUAGGAUGAGCUCGCGGCCUAUCAGCUUGUUGGUGGGGUAAUGGCCUACCAAGGCGGCGACGGGUAGCCGGCCUGAGAGGGUGGACGGCCACGUUGGGGGGGGGGGGCGGGCCAGGCGCGGAGGGGGGGGAGCGGGGGGGAAGAGUGCGCAAGGGGGGCAAGGCGGAUGCAGCGAGGCCGCGUGGGGGAUGACGGGCUUCGGGUGGUAGACGCCUUUCGCUAGGGACGAAGCGGUUUGUGACGGUACCUAGAGAAGAAGCAGCGGCUAACUACGUG
This 465-nucleotide ribosomal RNA is filed under the name uncultured bacterium. Its description in RNAcentral is "partial 16S ribosomal RNA". It matches the Rfam family "Bacterial small subunit ribosomal RNA", at positions 28 to 507 of the family's 1533-position model. The record is from RNAcentral.